GUUCGCUGUCUAAAUUUCAAGUCUCUAUGAAUAUUUUUAACUGAAUCGCAACAAAAAAACAAAAUAGAAAAUAAUACAUUUCGUAAAUUUUCCUGUUUUUAUCAGUUUGUCCCAUUUGUUAUGAAAUCCCCUUAGAAAAUCAAUUCUAAUCUAAUUUACUUCUUUAAAGUACAACACGGAGAUAAUUUACUUUCAGAAAAGGUGUUAUACUUGAAAAUCGGAGCAAAAUUUCUGGUAGAAAAGUUGUUCGCAGAAAAAAAAAAAUUACACGAUUAUAAAACCAAUACAUUCCUCGCUUCGCUCAGAAUCUAAAAACUAAACUAUUCAAACGUAACAAGUCGGCUGAUGGAAAAUUCGUGUCUAUAGCGACAGAUCUCGACUAUUUUAUUUCACUUUUGACAACUGUUAUUGUAGACUCCGAGUGUAUAGUUUUAUACUUUCACCGCGGUGGACACGCGAUAGUUGUGUUUUUUACCCCCCCCCAGGGAAGUACUUUUCGCUUAGAAAAAACGCUCCGAAUCAUUAUUGGUCAAAUGCCGAUGUGGAUUUAUUGCGCGGUGGUAGACAUAUACCAUAUCAGAGCCUGAUUAAACAAUAGGCUGAAAAUGCUGGCGCCUAGGGUGCCGUUAAAUGAUGGGGG
Molecule: non-coding RNA, 640 nt
Organism: Cinara cedri
Lineage: Eukaryota; Metazoa; Arthropoda; Insecta; Hemiptera; Aphididae
Source: the annotation of a GenBank genome assembly